RNAcentral lists this ribosomal RNA (485 nucleotides) under uncultured bacterium. RNAcentral's name for it is "partial 16S ribosomal RNA". It matches the Rfam family "Bacterial small subunit ribosomal RNA", at positions 30 to 507 of the family's 1533-position model. The record is from RNAcentral.
AUUGAACGCUGGCGGCAUGCCUUCACAUGCAAGUCGAACGGCAGCACGGGUGCUUGCACCUGGUGGCGAGUGGCGAACGGGUGAGUAAUACAUCGGAACAUGUCCUGUAGUGGGGGAUAGCCCGGCGAAAGCCGGAUUAAUACCGCAUACGAUCUACGGAUGAAAGCGGGGGACCUUCGGGCCUCGCGCUAUAGGGUUGGCCGAUGGCGGAUUAGCUAGUUGGUGGGGUAAAGGCCUACCAAGGCGACGAUCAGUAGCUGGUCUGAGAGGACGACCAGCCACACUGGGACUGAGACACGGCCCAGACUCCUACGGGAGGCAGCAGUGGGGAAUUUUGGACAAUGGGCGAAAGCCUGAUCCAGCAAUGCCGCGUGUGUGAAGAAGGCCUUCGGGUUGUAAAGCACUUUUGUCCGGAAAGAAAUCCUUGGCCCUAAUACGGUCGGGGGAUGACGGUACCGGAAGAAUAAGCACCGGCUAACUACGUG